RNAcentral lists this ribosomal RNA (1113 nucleotides) under Triticum aestivum (bread wheat). RNAcentral describes it as "partial small subunit ribosomal RNA". Lineage: Eukaryota; Viridiplantae; Streptophyta; Magnoliopsida; Poales; Poaceae. The record is from RNAcentral.
AUGGCUUCCCGGCGUGUCCUUCUACUCCUCGCCGUCAUCGGCUCGUUCUGCGCCACGCCGGCAGCGGCGAUUGGUAAUGGUAACCCUUCCUGCUCGACUAAAGAUAACUACACCGACGGCAGCCAGUACAAGAAGAGCCUCGACGAGCUCCUCGCCGCCCUCCCCGCGGCUGCCGGCGAUAACGGCUGGUUCUACAACGGCACGGCCGGGCUGCCGGGGACGCCCGACCAGGUCUUCGGCCUCGUCAUGUGCUACGCCGACAGCAACGCGAUGCAGUGCCAGGAAUGCCUGGCCGAUGCUCCAGCCCGGAUCACGAGUGAGUGCCCCGGAAGCCGGAACGUGAGCGCGGCAUACGACGCGUGCGUGCUCCGGUACUCGCCAGCCUCCUCCUUCUCCGUCGCCGACCUCGACGUGGGCGUCCUCGAGGCCACGAGCGUCGCGGGCGUCACCGUCGACCCGACCAGGAUGUUCAACGCGUGGCUCAAGCUGAUGACCGGCCUCACGGGGCAGGCGGCGAGCUCGCCGUCGCGAGUGGCGAACGGGACCACGGCUUACGAUGGCGACGCGGCGAAGCUGGUCUACGGACUGGCGCAGUGCACCAGGGAUCUCAACGGGUCAGCGUGCUCCGGGUGCCUCUCCUCCGUGGUCGGGCAGCUCACGGCAACCUUCAAAGACCAGACCGGCGGUGCCAUCAAGGCGUACAGCUGCUACGUCAAAUACCAGCUUGGCGCCUUCGACAUCACCCUCCCACCUGAACCGCCGCAGCCAUCUCCACAGCCGCCGCCGCCGCCGCCAUCUCCACGGUCACCGCCGCCGCCGUCUGCACAGCCGGGUGAAUCAUCGUCCGGCUCCAGAAGAGCGCUUGUCAUCGGCCUCUCAGUCGGUUCCGUGUCGUCACUGAUCAUUCUUGGCUCCUUGGUCUGUCUCUCUCUACGGCGGCGGAAGAGAGCAGUUUCUUGGACGGCGACGACCUGGCCAUGGAAGACGACUUCGAGAAAGGGACCGGGCCAAAGCGGUUCCGCUACGGCGAGCUGGCCAUGGCUACUGACAGCUUCUCCGACGAGAAGAAGCUCGGGGAAGGAGGAUUCGGCUCGGUGUACAGAGGAUUCUUGA